Macaca mulatta (Rhesus monkey) is the source of this 6684-nucleotide non-coding RNA. The record is from RefSeq and is a predicted model, not a curated record. Lineage: Eukaryota; Metazoa; Chordata; Mammalia; Primates; Cercopithecidae.
ACAUGCCCGCAGGCUCUGCUGGACUGAGAGGACACCGGCUGCUACUGUUUUUAAUGAAGCUGUCAGCUGGGCCCCUGGGGCACAGGAGCUGGCUGGGCUGAAAAUCAUCAAUUUACACAGAUGAUGAGUCAGAGGCUUGGGUGGGGCAAGGGCCCGGGGGUCAGCAGGGCAGCACUGGAGGAGCUCUGUCGGGAGAUCACGACAUAAACAGGCUUGGCUCCACUCUGGUGGCCCUGACCCCACUCACCCAACCCCAUUGCAGAGGCUCCCCUUUGAUGUUCAGGUCAGUUCAGCAAACCUGGCCUCAGCCUCAGUUCCAUGCCAGGAACUGAGCUAGUGCUGGGAAUAGAGACAGACCGCAGUCCCUGCCCUCAAGGAGCUGGGUCUGAUGGUGGAGAUGAAUACUUACAUAGGCAACCCACCAUGAUAUGAUAUUCAUCAUGAGAGAAGCACAGGAGAGGGCUGGCUCCGGAAGUGGAUUGCUUGUGUUUAAAUCUUGGCUCAGCCUCUCCCUAGCUUUAGGACAGUGUGCACGUUAUUGAACCUCUCCUUGCCUCAGUUUUCGCAUCCGUGAAAUGGGAUGAACUGUAAUCUAUUUGUGACUAUUUUUGGUAGGUAACAAAUACCUCACACUCAGAGAUGUAAAGAAACAACCAUUUUACUAUGCCUGGACAGAUUCUGUGGUCAGGAAUUUAGGAAGGGCAGCGGGCGGUUUGUCCCUGCGCCACGAUGUGGGGGGGCCUUGGCUGGAGGACUCAAAUAUCUAAGGGGAAUGUGAAUGGCUGGAAUCAUCUGGAGACUUCUCACUUACGUGUGACUCCAAGGCUGGACUCAGCUGAGACUACCAACCAGAGCGCCCAUGAGUGGCCUCUCUGUGUGGCUUGGGCUUUUCCCUGUGUGGUGCACUGGUUCUGGGAGGCGCAUCCUGGGAGGAAAUGUCUGGAGGGUGAGCAUUUCGAGAGACCAUGGUGGAAACUGUGUGACUUUUUAUAGCCCAGCCUUAGGCACUACAUUACAUCACUUCCACUGCACUCCUGUUGGUCUAGGCGGUCACAAGCCUGCCCAGGUUUAUGCGGAAGGGAUGGUUUUAAAACUGUCACUCUGCCUCAUAGAUUUGGAUAAUUAAAUUAAAUGAGACAUAUGCAGGGUCCAGGGCAAUGCCUGGCUUAUAGUAUUAUUAUAGUUGUUAACAAAUGUAUUAUGGUAAGUUAUACUUGAAGGUUAAGUUUUAUAUAAUUAGUAAAGUAUAAAUAAAUGUUAAGUAUUAUACUUAGUGCUGUUGGAGGGAGGAAGUGGUAAGGAAAGAAUUCAGAGAACAGGUGCUGUCUGAGCAGGGUUUUGAAGGAUGAACAGGAGUUUGCUAUGAACCUUUUAAGGAACACAAUUUAGGUAGGGGAAACAGCUUGGGCGAAGUCAUAGGAGGCUUGAAACAAUGACGUGCUUGGGGAAACCAUGAGUAGUUUGGUGUCCUUGCAGCACUGAGGGCAAGGAAGAGCAUGGCUGAAGUGAAGUCGGAGGGUUGGUGAGGUAACAGUGUCUUGUGGGCCUGACUGAGAACUGAGAAGUCUGGGUUUUGUUCUGAGAGGAUCAGGGAACCAUGGAGGGUUUCAAGCAGGAGAGCGACACGGCCAGGUUUGUCAGAUCAUUGUGGCAGCAUUGUGGAGGAAGGGUUGGAGGGAGUAAAGUGAAGUCUAGGGGCCAAUGGGGAGGCCCUAACAGAACAAGGACCUGACCUAAGGGUGUGGCAGUGGGGACUGAGGGAGGGAGAUGAUGCAGAGCCAUCUAAGCCAUGAUGUUCACUGAGCAGGGGAUCACGGGAGGUGGGAGUGGUCCAGGGGAGGUCGAGGUCUGUGGCAGGAGCGCCAGGUUGGAUGACAUCGUUCUCAUUACUGAGCAGAGGCAGGGGUGUGUGGCCACCACUCACCCUCCUCCCGCCCGGGCCCUCAGCCUGCCGCCUCGCUGGAGGACACCUUCAACCACACCUUUGUCUCCUUCCAAACUGGGCCACACCGCUUGGGAUCCGAUGGGCCAUGGAGGCGAGGGAGAAACAGUAGAGGAGGACUCUCUCUUGACAGCAAGGUCAAUGUCUUUUGCCUCCAGUGCCCCAAGUUUGUGAAACCUUUCCCAGGAGCAGAGGGGCCUCUUUCCUCGGAGACUUACCCUGGGCUGAGGGCCAAGUGUUGCUCAUCUUGGCUGGGGGUGACUUGGGCCACAGAAUGGCAGAAUCCUAGAACGUUGGAAUGGGGAAACCCUGAAGGGAAGCCCCGAGUCUGAUACUAGACAAGACUGGGUUUGAGCCCUGGCUGUGCCUCUUCCUGGCUGUGCGGCCAGGGCGCUGUGCAGAAUGGAGGCCACACUCCCACCUUCCACACAGACUGUGGGGUGGGGGGUUAAAUGGGACCACAGACAGGAAUAUGAUUGAGAAGUGCUUGUUACAGCUGAGAUGCCAUCCGAGAAGAGAAAUCUGGGGCUCAGAGAGGAAAGGAAUUGCUCAGUGCCACCCGGUAAAUGAGCAGCGAAGCCAGAGCUCCAAGCUGAGCCACCUGAUUCCCUUCCAAGGCUCCUGUCCCCUCCCCAAGCAUGCAAGGGGGACAGGACUAUUCACCUGUAUUUCACACUCCUCCCCAGUGUGGUCAUCUGGGAGAAUUAACUGCCUGCCUUCUGGAGCCAUCUCUCACUCGUGUCUGAAGCCCCAGUUAUACAGAGAUGGGAGAGCAUAGAACAGAGAUUUCUGCCAGUAUCCCUACCUCUUGGCAGGAGGACAGAAGUGGACUCUUUCUCAGAGAGAGUACUUCGUCUUCAACCACUAGAUCUGGGUUCUAGUUCUGGCUGUGACACUUUCUAGUGGAGCGACCCUGGGCGAUCACUUCUUCCUGGCCCCCAGGGUUUCCUCCUCUCUGCAGAUAAAUGUUUUGUAAGUCUAUGAUUUGUGAGUGACCAUGCUGCAUGUGACAGCAUAAACAUGGGAUCUGGGCCAGGAGAGCAACGAUCAGCAGAGUAUAGCACAGAGGUCAAGAUGCGGGUGCUGGAGCCAGCAUCCCGGAGCCGGCCGCUCUGUGACCCUGCACCCAGCUCUGUGACCCUUCCCACCCCCACACCUUAAUUUCCUCACCAACAAAUGGAGAUCCAGCGAGAUAACACAUCCCAAGUGCUAUCAGAGUAUGGAGCCAUGACAAACCCUCAAAGAAUAUCAGUCAUUAGAUAUGCUGAGAGCCUAUGGCAUGCAUGCAUUUUAUUUACCGAGACUCCUCAGCUGGUCAAAUCAUCCUGACAACCCUGAGAGGUGGUGGGGCAGAGGCGUGACUAUGUGCUCCCCAGACCCAGGUUCCUUUUCCUCCUGGACACACAGUGGACUACACUUCCCAGCCUCCCUGCAGCUGGGGCCAUGUGACCUAGAUCUGGCCAGUGAAAAAUGAGCAGAUGCAACACACGCUAUGGUGUGCAGGCGGGCCCCUCAGACCUCCUGUGUGAGGCUUUUGCACUCUUUCCUGCUUCCUCUGCUGGCUAGCUGCAGAGGAUCCCGCAAAGGAUCUAGAGCAAUGAUUCUCGUCCAGGGGCAAUUUUGCCUAUGGGGCGACAUUUGGCAAUGUCUAGAGACAUUUUUGGUUGUCACAACUUGGGGGAGUGCUACUGGUGUCUAGUGGGUAGACUAGACAGGAAUGCUGCUAAACAUCCUACCAUGCACAAGAUGACCCCCACAAUAGAGAAUUAUCCAGCAGAUGUCAACAGUACUGAGACUGAGAAACCUUGGUCUAGAAGUGGAGUUAAAGCCCUGGGAUGGUCUAAAGAGAAGCUCCUGGGUCCUUGAGUGACUGUAUGGAGCUCAGCCCUGCUGCCACCUCCAUAUUAGACUGUAAGAAGAAGAAAUACGGUGUUAUAAUGUUAAACUACGCAGAUUUUUAGGAUUUUUUGUUGGAACAGUUGGCCUACCUUGAUGAAUGCAGGUUGCUAUUAUUAUGUCCAUUUAGUUGAUGGUAACUGAGAUAUAAAGUUACCGGACUUGUAAGUGACAAAUGGUGGGUUUGAACCAUGUUUGUCUGGCUCUAAAACCUGUGCUUGCCUUGGUAUAGUGGUAUAGUGCAGCCUCUUUCCAUCUCCUGAUUCUGUCCCCUCUGUCUGCAUCCCCUGGAGGAUUUCACGUAGAGCAGCUGCAGAACCAAUCACCAAGUUGCUGCCAGGGUUUCCCAGUAUGGGGCCUCCUGCUAUUGGGUGGAGUAUACUCCCCAGAAUAAGCUGGUUGUGUCCUUCAUGGUCCCAUCCCAGGCAGCUCAUGUUGGUUAUCUGUGACACCCAGCCCCUUAAAAAGGGUUGGCACAUACUCCCUGCAUGUGCCCACUGCCCCACUACAAGGAGCCCCCUUAUCCACUCUGUCUUUCUCCCAAGCCAGCCCCCAACCAGCUCCUGGUUUGAAUUUCCAGGCAGGUGUCUGGAGGCGUCUUGGCUCCCAGUUAAUUUCCUGAUUUGGCUUCCUGAAAGGCAGGAGGGCUUGGAGGUGGCUGCCUGGAGCGAUGAGGAGAUAGUGAUGUCUGCUCUGGUUUCCUGCCUGUCUGUGGGGACACCCUGCCCAUCAGCCUACAGAGGGCCCCUCCCUGGCAGUCCCCGCCAUACAGAGGGAUUUGAGGGUGGGGGCUGGGAAGCUGAGCUGCAGUGGGCUGCAGAGCCUCAUCAGGGAAAAACAUGGAUGUUCAGGCUUUGAGUGUGUGUGUGCCUGCGAAUAUGUAUAGAUGCCCAAGAGUUGUAAGAGCCUCCAACAUGUCAUUUGGCUCAAUCCUCUGUGUCCACACAAGUUAGCACCUUUCCAGAGGAUUUUGAUCUUUUGAAAAAGUACCAAGAGUAAAAGACCUCUUUUACUUAAGUAACUUUCAAGGGUGAACUCAAGCCUGAACCAGUUCUUUGACACGCAGGAAGUCCUUCCUUGAAUCUGCUCCAAGUUUCUCUUGCUGGUCUGAGUCCAUUGUCUCUAUUUUGUGGAACUAGUGACCUUUUUUUUUUUUUUUUUUUGCCUCCCUGAUGUAAACCCUUCAAGUACCUGUAAACAGAAAUUGAGUGCUUCCCUCAAAAUACUUCCAGAUUCUCUUUUGCAGACCAAGCAAUUCCACCUACCCACCUUUCUUCAUGGAGGAGGAUGACGACUGGGGACGUGUACAGUAGGAAAAAUGUGCUUGCAAGGUGCCUCUUCUCUCCUUUGUGGAGGUUUCUCUCUCUUCCUUUAAAAGUCCUCACGGCUGCAGAAAAAACACAGUUUUGGGGGGCCUAGAAAGCGUGGGCUUCAAUCUCAGCCAGGUUAUUUAACGGCUCUGAGCAGGGCUCAGUUCCGGCACUUUGCACAGAGCAAGCCACGGAGCAGAUGCUCGAUCGAUGUUUAUUUCUCCCCGCUGCCUUCCUUCAGGUGCCUGUGCGCUCCCUACCCUUCCUACUUUGUCUCUGGCUGCUGCUGUCUGAAAAAGGACCAGAGGCGCUCAUGACCCACACCAAACCUGGUUAGCUGGGUGGGACCGGCACGUGCCAUGUGCGUAGGAACAGGCAGCAGGCCCCAGCCGCAGGGGAGGGAGAAGGCUUUCCUCGUUGCCUCUGCUCUUGGAGUCCACUCUCCACCCCUCUGGCUGCUGAGUCAUUCUCUCAGCACCUUCUCUCUGCAUCUGUGUUAUUGUGUCGGCCCCAAUGCCUCGUCUGCUGAAGCACUGACCAUUUUCCCAGGUGUGACAUAGGGUCCCUUCAUUCCCGUACAGCGGGAUGCCCCAGGUUUCUUAGAAUCCUAGAGUGCUGGAGCCAUUUUCCAGAUGGGGAAACAGAGGCCCAGAAUGGGGUCCCCAUCUACCUGAGGCCUCCAAUCAAGUGGGGGUGAGACCCCAGGUAUCUUGACUGCAGGCCCAGUUUUAUCUCUGUUAGAAGUGGAGCUUUGCUGUGAAUCUAACUGCCUAGGAGGGUCAGACCUUUCAAAUGCCGGGAUGCAAAGGUCCCUGAACACAGCACGGGCACGAGGGGUCUGUCUAAAGAGUUGUCUCUCUCUUUUGCAGGAGGAGGAGGAAGAAGAUCCGGGACGCCCUGAGCAUAGGAGGCUUCAGGGGGAUCACAGCUCAUUUUCCUGAAGGCUGGUGUAGCAUUAAGUUCUUAUGUCUGCCAGCAGCCUUUCAGAUUGGCUACUGCCACUCCUGUCUGUGUGUUACAUAAAUCCUCACCGCGAACUGCAGAGACAGGAAGCAAUUAGCCUCCUGUGACAAUUCCCACUGGUGCUGGCUUCUUGCAGAAGGCAUGAGGGUGGUGCAGUGAAAAGGACACGGACCAGGAGCUGGGAGCCUGGACUGAAAAGCUGUGUGAUCUGAGGCCCUCACUUCUCCUCUCCGGAUUUAUAAGGUUGGGGAAGAGUGGAGAGGGGUCCCCAGCAAAGGAUUUAGCAUGAGUAAAAUCAAGGAGGGAUAGAAGAACCGUCCUGAGCUGGAGGAGGUUUGAGAAGGAGAAUACUGAGAGAUCAGCAAACUGAGGCUCAGAAAGUGGAAAUAGGAAGCCCAAGGUCACACAGCAAAUGCUAAGAGGACCAGAACCUUAUGGAUCCCAGUCCAGUGCUCUUUCCUGUACACCACACCACUGGCUACCCUUUCAGACAGAGCAUAGAGCAGACAUGUAACCAACUUAGUCACAACAUGUCAAGGGAGGAGAAAGAAGCCCAUAUUGUGGUGUCCUUUC